Molecule: ribosomal RNA, 425 nt
Filed under: uncultured bacterium
Lineage: Bacteria
Description: bacterial SSU rRNA
Rfam family: Bacterial small subunit ribosomal RNA
Source: RNAcentral
UGGGGAAUUUUGGACAAUGGGGGCAACCCUGAUCCAGCCAUUCCGCGUGAGUGAAGAAGGCCUUCGGGUUGUAAAGCUCUUUUGUCCGGAACGAAACGGGUAGCGUGAAUAUCGCUGCCUACUGACGGUACCGGAAGAAUAAGCACCGGCUAACUACGUGCCAGCAGCCGCGGUAAUACGUAGGGUGCGAGCGUUGUCCGGAUUUACUGGGCGUAAAGAGCGCGCAGGCGGUCGUUCAAGUCGAGUGUGAAAGCCCCCGGCUCAACUGGGGAGGGUCACUCGAUACUGGUCGACUCGAAGGCAGGAGAGGGAAGUGGAAUUCCCGGUGUAGUGGUGAAAUGCGUAGAUAUCGGGAGGAACACCAGUGGCGAAGGCGACUUCCUGGCCUGUUCUUGACGCUGAGGCGCGAAAGCUAGGGGAGCAAA